AUGCAUUGGCUGUCCUGGGAGAAACUUGCAACUCCGAAAAUUUAUGGUGGUAUGGGCUUUCGUGAUCUCCAGCUGUUUAAUCUUGCGCUUUUGGGCAAACAUGGAUGGAGAUUCAUCACAAACCCCAACUCAUUGUGUGCACGGGUAAUGACGGGACGUUACUUCCCUGAUUCUGAUUUUAUGGAGGCUACUGUUCCGCAAUCGGCCUCGGCCAUCUAGCGAGCCAUAGUGGCUGGAAGAGGAGCGCUCCAAACGGGGUUGAUCAAGAGGGUUGGAGACGGCAGUUCUAUCUCUAUUUGGAACGAUCAGUGGAUACCUGGUCUGUCAACCCUUACCCCAACGCUCAUGCCAGGAGGAACCACACUGGCUAAUGUUAAUGAGUUGAUUGAUACAGAAAAUUGGACUUGGCGACGGGAGCUAAUCCGGGAUACUUUCAUAGCCCCUGAUGCCGAUGCAAUUCUAAAUAUCCCACUAUGA
RNAcentral lists this ribosomal RNA (477 nucleotides) under Triticum aestivum (bread wheat). RNAcentral describes it as "partial small subunit ribosomal RNA". Lineage: Eukaryota; Viridiplantae; Streptophyta; Magnoliopsida; Poales; Poaceae. The record is from RNAcentral.